UCAAGAUAUAUUAAUUAAAAAAAACACCUCCUGGAACUUCUAGAAAGAGAGAGAGAACGAGCAGGAGGGAGAGGAAGAAAGAAUAGCAGGAACACGGCUGAUUUCAAGUCUCAAUCAAUCUCUUUAAUUCUAUUUCAAGUGUUAAUUGAAUCUAUAAUCAAAGGUGACAAGUUGGAAGCAUUUUUGGUGAUGAUUGCUAUUGUUCGUUAACGAUGCAAAUGAUCGGGUGUUAAGAAAGAUCAAAGAAAAGGAAAAAGAGGCAAGAAAGCUUAGUGUGGAUUUACUUUGCUCAUACAUAUUGUAAGUUUCUUAAAUUGCCGAGUUGAUGCAUCACUUGAAGUAAAUCGCCCAUAAAAGAAAAGAUUAACUAGUAAUGCAUCGUGGAGUCAUUUUGUGGUUUAUAAGAACUGAUUGGGUUACAACCAUGUUUUGUACCGACAUAUGGGCUUAUGUUGUUAUGUCAUUUCUACAAAAGAAUAUGUAUGAUUAUGGUCAA
This is a long non-coding RNA of Erigeron canadensis, 496 nucleotides long. RefSeq lists it as uncharacterized. The transcript has 3 exons. Lineage: Eukaryota; Viridiplantae; Streptophyta; Magnoliopsida; Asterales; Asteraceae. The record is from RefSeq and is a predicted model, not a curated record.